GGCUCAGGAUGAACGCUGGCGGCGUGCCUAAUACAUGCAAGUCGAGCGAACGGAUAAGGAGCUUGCUCCUUUGAAGUUAGCGGCGGACGGGUGAGUAACACGUGGGUAACCUACCUAUAAGACUGGAAUAACUUCGGGAAACCGGAGCUAAUGCCGGAUAACAUAUAGAACCGCAUGGUUCUAUAGUGAAAGAUGGUUUGCUAUCACUUAUAGAUGGACCCGCGCCGUAUUAGCUAGUUGGUAAGGUAAUGGCUUACCAAGGCGACGAUACGUAGCCGACCUGAGAGGGUGAUCGGCCACACUGGAACUGAGACACGGUCCAGACUCCUACGGGAGGCAGCAGUAGGGAAUCUUCCGCAAUGGGCGAAAGCCUGACGGAGCAACGCCGCGUGAGUGAUGAAGGUUUCGGAUCGUAAAACUCUGUUAUUAGGGAAGAACAAAUGCGUAAGUAACUGUGCGCAUCUUGACGGUACCUAAUCAGAAAGCCACGGCUAACUACGUGCCAGCAGCCGCGGUAAUACGUAGGUGGCAAGCGUUAUCCGGAAUUAUUGGGCGUAAAGCGCGCGUAGGCGGUUUCUUAAGUCUGAUGUGAAAGCCCACGGCUCAACCGUGGAGGGUCAUUGGAAACUGGGAAACUUGAGUGCAGAAGAGGAAAGUGGAAUUCCAUGUGUAGCGGUGAAAUGCGCAGAGAUAUGGAGGAACACCAGUGGCGAAGGCGACUUUCUGGUCUUGUUAACUGACGGCUGGAUGGAGUAAGG
RNAcentral lists this ribosomal RNA (758 nucleotides) under Staphylococcus sp. Its description in RNAcentral is "bacterial SSU rRNA". It matches the Rfam family "Bacterial small subunit ribosomal RNA", at positions 21 to 760 of the family's 1533-position model. Lineage: Bacteria; Bacillati; Bacillota; Bacilli; Caryophanales; Staphylococcaceae. The record is from RNAcentral.